This 504-nucleotide ribosomal RNA is filed under the name uncultured bacterium. Its description in RNAcentral is "partial 16S ribosomal RNA". It matches the Rfam family "Bacterial small subunit ribosomal RNA", at positions 30 to 523 of the family's 1533-position model. The record is from RNAcentral.
AUUGAACGCUGGCGGCAUGCCUUACACAUGCAAGUCGAACGGUAACAGGAAGCAGCUUGCUGCUUCGCUGACGAGUGGCGGACGGGUGAGUAAUGUCUGGGAAACUGCCUGAUGGAGGGGGAUAACUACUGGAAACGGUAGCUAAUACCGCAUAACGUCGCAAGACCAAAGAGGGGGACCUUCGGGCCUCUUGCCAUCAGAUGUGCCCAGAUGGGAUUAGCUGGGGUAGGGUAAUGGCCUACCUGGGCGACGAUCCCUAGCUGGUCUGAGAGGAUGACCAGCCACACUGGAACUGGGACACGGUCCAGACUCCUACGGGAGGCAGCAGUGGGGAAUAUUGCACAAUGGGCGCAAGCCUGAUGCAGCCAUGCCGCGUGUGUGAAGAAGGCCUUCGGGCUGUAAAGCACUUUCAGCGAGGAGGAAGGCAGUAAGGUUAAUAACCUUGCUGAUUGACGUUACUCGCAGAAGAAGCACCGGCUAACUCCGUGCCAGCCGCCGCAGUAA